This 253-nucleotide ribosomal RNA is filed under the name uncultured bacterium. RNAcentral's name for it is "partial 16S ribosomal RNA". It matches the Rfam family "Bacterial small subunit ribosomal RNA", at positions 524 to 776 of the family's 1533-position model. The record is from RNAcentral.
UACGUAGGGGGCAAGCGUUGUCCGGAUUUAUUGGGCGUAAAGCGCGUGUAGGCGGCCAGAUAGGUCUGCUGUGAAAACUCGAGGCUCAACCUCGAGCUGUCGGCGGAAACCAUCUGGCUAGAGUCCGGAAGAGGAGAGUGGAAUUCCUGGUGUAGCGGUGAAAUGCGCAGAGAUCGGCAGGAACACCCAGGGGGAAACCAGCCGACUGGGCAUCUGCUGACGCUGAUGUGCGAGAGCGUGGGGAGCGAACCGG